RNAcentral lists this unclassified non-coding RNA (348 nucleotides) under air metagenome. RNAcentral describes it as "partial contains small subunit ribosomal RNA, internal transcribed spacer 1, and 5.8S ribosomal RNA". The stretch from base 1 to 46 matches the Rfam family "Eukaryotic small subunit ribosomal RNA", at positions 1786 to 1831 of the family's 1831-position model. The record is from RNAcentral.
AAGUCGUAACAAGGUUUCCGUAGGUGAACCUGCGGAAGGAUCAUUAACACGAAAUUUAUAUCCAAAUAUUCAAAAACCCAACGUGAACUUUUCUCCUCCCUAUUUUUAAACUAUACUAAUUUAUUAGCUAGUUUUGAUUUAGGCUAACAUUUUAUUAAACCAUUUUAACACCUUUUAAUUUAUAAGUCUAUAGGUUAACAAACCUCUAGACUAAACUAACUAAAAAUUUUACUUAAGAUGUGCCAACUUUUAUCAGUUGUGUCUUUUAUCUUAAUUAAUAUUUUUUCAUUUACGAAAUAAAUAUUACUAUUAUAAGAACAACUCUUAGCAAUGGAUAUCUAGGUUCUC